RNAcentral lists this transfer RNA (87 nucleotides) under Nitrincola nitratireducens. RNAcentral describes it as "tRNA-Leu". It matches the Rfam family "tRNA". Rfam says of the family: Transfer RNA (tRNA) molecules are approximately 80 nucleotides in length. Their secondary structure includes four short double-helical elements and three loops (D, anti-codon, and T loops). Further hydrogen bonds mediate the characteristic L-shaped molecular structure. tRNAs have two regions of fundamental functional importance: the anti-codon, which is responsible for specific mRNA codon recognition, and the 3' end, to which the tRNAs corresponding amino acid is attached (by aminoacyl-tRNA synthetases). tRNAs cope with the degeneracy of the genetic code in two manners: having more than one tRNA (with a specific anti-codon) for a particular amino acid; and 'wobble' base-pairing, i.e. permitting non-standard base-pairing at the 3rd anti-codon position. RNAcentral also lists the same sequence under 2 other names. Lineage: Bacteria; Pseudomonadati; Pseudomonadota; Gammaproteobacteria; Oceanospirillales; Oceanospirillaceae. The record is from RNAcentral.
GCCCGAGUGGUGAAAUAGGUAGACACAAGGGACUUAAAAUCCCUCGCUGGAAACAGUGUACCGGUUCGAGUCCGGUCUCGGGCACCA